GGCUAGCGUCAGCUCUCACCUUUGUGACAUACCCAACUGUUGCUUCGGCGGGUCGGGGCGCCCUCCCGGGGGCGCCCCCCAGGCCCGGCCCCUCCCGGGGCCGAGCGCCCGCCGGAGGAUCACCCAACUCUAUUUUAACGACGUUUCUUCUGAGUGGCACAAGCAAAUAAUUAAAACUUUUAACAACGGAUCUCUUGGUUCUGGCAUCGAUGAAGAACGCAGCGAAAUGCGAUAAGUAAUGUGAAUUGCAGAAUUCAGUGAAUCAUCGAAUCUUUGAACGCACAUUGCGCCCGCCAGCAUUCUGGCGGGCAUGCCUGUUCGAGCGUCAUUUCAACCCUCAAGCCCGGCUUGGUGUUGGGGCACUACGGUCGACGUAGGCCCUUAAAGGUAGUGGCGGACCCUCCCGGAGCCUCCUUUGCGUAGUAACUAACGUCUCGCAUCGGGAUCCGGAGGGACUCCUGCCGUAAAACCCCCACACUUUUUCUGGUUGACCUCGGAUCACGUAGGAAUACCCGCUGAGCUUAAGCAUGUCAAUAAGCGGGAGGAAA
RNAcentral lists this ribosomal RNA (548 nucleotides) under Colletotrichum falcatum. Its description in RNAcentral is "eukaryotic LSU rRNA". The stretch from base 175 to 328 matches the Rfam family "5.8S ribosomal RNA". The record is from RNAcentral. Lineage: Eukaryota; Fungi; Ascomycota; Sordariomycetes; Glomerellales; Glomerellaceae.